RNAcentral lists this ribosomal RNA (370 nucleotides) under uncultured Bacillus sp. RNAcentral's name for it is "bacterial SSU rRNA". It matches the Rfam family "Bacterial small subunit ribosomal RNA", at positions 235 to 596 of the family's 1533-position model. Lineage: Bacteria; Bacillati; Bacillota; Bacilli; Caryophanales; Bacillaceae. The record is from RNAcentral.
GGUGCAUUAGCUAGUUGGUGAGGUAACGGCUCAACCAAGGCCACGAUGCAUAGCCGACCUGAGAGGGUGAUCGGCCACACUGGGACUGAGACACGGCCCAGACUCCUACGGGAGGCAGCAGUAGGGAAUCUUCCGCAAUGGACGAAAGUCUGACGGAGCAACGCCGCGUGAGUGAUGAAGGCUUUCGGGUCGUAAAACUCUGUUGUUAGGGAAGAACAAGUAUGAGAGUAACUGCUCGUACCUUGACGGUACCUAACCAGAAAGCCACGGCUAACUACGUGCCAGCAGCCGCGGUAAUACGUAGGUGGCAAGCGUUAUCCGGAAUUAUUGGGCGUAAAGCGCGCGCAGGCGGUUUCUUAAGUCUGAUGUG